GCGUCCGAUUAGCUAGUUGGUGAGGUAAUGGCUCACCAAGGCGACGAUCGGUAGCUGGUCUGAGAGGAUGAUCAGCCACAC
RNAcentral lists this ribosomal RNA (81 nucleotides) under Aeromonas salmonicida subsp. salmonicida 01-B526. RNAcentral's name for it is "partial 16S ribosomal RNA". It matches the Rfam family "Bacterial small subunit ribosomal RNA", at positions 233 to 313 of the family's 1533-position model. The record is from RNAcentral. Lineage: Bacteria; Pseudomonadati; Pseudomonadota; Gammaproteobacteria; Aeromonadales; Aeromonadaceae.